This 857-nucleotide ribosomal RNA is filed under the name Penicillium neomiczynskii. Its description in RNAcentral is "LSU rRNA". It matches the Rfam family "Eukaryotic large subunit ribosomal RNA", at positions 68 to 943 of the family's 3401-position model. Lineage: Eukaryota; Fungi; Ascomycota; Eurotiomycetes; Eurotiales; Aspergillaceae. The record is from RNAcentral.
ACCGGGAUUGCCCUAGUAACGGCGAGUGAAGCGGCAAGAGCUCAAAUUUGAAAGCUGGCCCCCUCGGGGUCCGCAUUGUAAUUUGUAGAGGAUGCUUCGGGAGCGGUCCCCAUCUAAGUGCCCUGGAACGGGCCGUCAUAGAGGGUGAGAAUCCCGUAUGGGAUGGGGUGUCCGCGCCCGUGUGAAGCUCCUUCGACGAGUCGAGUUGUUUGGGAAUGCAGCUCUAAUUGGGUGGUAAAUUUCAUCUAAAGCUAAAUAUUGGCCGGAGACCGAUAGCGCACAAGUAGAGUGAUCGAAAGAUGAAAAGCACUUUGAAAAGAGAGUUAAACAGCACGUGAAAUUGUUGAAAGGGAAGCGCUUGCGAUCAGACUCGCUCGCGGGGUUCAGCCGGCCUUCGGGCCGGUGUACUUCCCCGCGGGCGGGCCAGCGUCGGUUUGGGCGGCCGGUCAAAGGCCCCUGGAAUGUAACGCCUCUCGGGGCGUCUUAUAGCCAGGGGUGCCAUGCGGCCUGCCCGGACCGAGGAACGCGCUUCGGCUCGGACGCUGGCAUAAUGGUCGUAAGCGACCCGUCUUGAAACACGGACCAAGGAGUCUAACAUCUACGCGAGUGUUCGGGUGUCAAACCCGUGCGCGCAGUGAAAGCGAACGGAGGUGGGAACCCCUCGGGGUGCACCAUCGACCGAUCCUGAAGUCUUCGGAUGGAUUUGAGUAAGAGCGUAGCUGUUGGGACCCGAAAGAUGGUGAACUAUGCCUGAAUAGGGCGAAGCCAGAGGAAACUCUGGUGGAGGCUCGCAGCGGUUCUGACGUGCAAAUCGAUCGUCAAAUUUGGGUAUAGGGGCGAAAGACUAAUCGAACCAU